This 357-nucleotide small RNA is filed under the name Drosophila mojavensis. RNAcentral's name for it is "GI25497". Lineage: Eukaryota; Metazoa; Arthropoda; Insecta; Diptera; Drosophilidae. The record is from RNAcentral.
AUCGAUGCGAGGUAUUAGAGCACCACCCGGACCGUUCACCCCAUAGCCGCCUGCCUUAUCGCUGUGGGUGAAAAGUUGAAUCACAGGCUAACAUAGGUGGGUGUGCUGAUGCAGUAGUGCAUUCUGAAUGUGGUGAAAUGAGGGAAGAAGAUGAUGGAGAAUUGUGACUGGAAUAUCUUUUCUAAGAUGACAAGUGUUAAAUGUUAUUACUUUUUUAAAUAAAUCUAUCUCCCUUAUCUAUCCAUCUAUCGACACAACAGAUAUACAGCCAGACUGUAUUCAGAUUGGGAAUCUCUUCAGCAAAUAAGUAGGGCUUUUCGAAUCUCUAUAUUUAUUGGUUAGUAGUACGGGAUAUCU